Molecule: ribosomal RNA, 245 nt
Filed under: uncultured bacterium
Lineage: Bacteria
Description: partial 16S ribosomal RNA
Rfam family: Bacterial small subunit ribosomal RNA
Source: RNAcentral
AGAUGGCGACCGGCGCACGGGUGAGUAACACGUAUCCAACCUGCCGAUAACUCGGGGAUAGCCUUUCGAAAGAAAGAUUAAUACCCGAUGGCAUAAUAGAACCGCAUGGUUUGAUUAUUAAAGAAUUUCGGUUAUCGAUGGGGAUGCGUUCCAUUAGGCAGUUGGUGGGGUAACGGCCCACCAAACCUUCGAUGGAUAGGGGUUCUGAGAGGAAGGUCCCCCACAUUGGACUGAGACACGGCCAA